CCUACGGGAGGCAGCAGUAGGGAAUAUUGCACAAUGGGCGAAAGCCUGAUGCAGCAACGCCGCGUGUGCGAUGAAGGCCUUCGGGUCGUAAAGCACUUUUAGAGAGGAUGAGGAAGGACAGUACUCUCUGAAUAAGCCUCGGCUAACUACGUGCCAGCAGCCGCGGUAAAACGUAGGAGGCGAGCGUUAUCCGGAUUUACUGGCGUAAAGCGCGUGCAGGCGGUAAGGAAAGUUGGAUGUGAAAGCUCCUGGCUUAACUGGGAGAGGUCGUUCAAAACUACCUAACUAGAGUAUGGGAGAGGGAGGCGGAAUUCCGGGUGUAGUGGUGAAAUGCGUAGAUAUCCGGAGGAACACCAGUGGCGAAAGCGGCCUUCUGGCCCAAAACUGACGCUCAGACGCGAAAGCUAGGGUAGCAAACGGGAUUAGAGACCCCGGUAGUCCUAGCUGUAAACGAUGUAGACUUGGCGUCGGCGGGUUUAAAUCCGUCGGUGUCGAAGCUAACGCGAUAAGUCUACCGCCUGGGGACUACGGCCGCAAGGUUAAAACUCAAAGGAAUUGACGGGGCCCCGCACAAGCAGCGGAGCGUGUGGUUUAAUUCGAUGCUACACGAAGAACCUUACCAGGGUUUGACAUAUAAGUGGUAGGGAAGGGAAACCGGACCGACCCUUCGGGGAGCUAUGAG
RNAcentral lists this ribosomal RNA (682 nucleotides) under uncultured bacterium. RNAcentral's name for it is "bacterial SSU rRNA". It matches the Rfam family "Bacterial small subunit ribosomal RNA", at positions 338 to 1038 of the family's 1533-position model. The record is from RNAcentral.